GCAAUUCUUUAUGUUCUUAUUAUGUAAAACAAUAAGCCAGGCUCCCUGAAGAAGACAGUGUCUUGUCUGAUUGCGUUUUUCAUGAGCACCUUACAGUCUAUUUCAUAUGCAGUUAGUGAAUAAACAGGGCUGUUUAUGAAAAAUUCUGUUCAUGAUGCCAGUAGAUUGCAUCUGAGGCAUUUUCAGUGGUAAAACAAUUUGCACUGCAGAUAUAUGUUUAUGGGAAAUUAGCGGAAUGGUAGAGCUUAAUGCAUAAAAGUGGAGAAUUAAUGUAAAAUAAGUAGGGGUACUGAAGCCACACUUUCUAGUAAUCCUUUUAAAUCUGUAUUUCAUCCAGAAAGCUUUUAUUUUAAAACCAAUUUAAAAAGUCAAUAAUUAUUAAAUAUGCAGAGACAUUUGUGUGCUUCCUGCUUUGUAGCAUUUUAUUUGACAUGCUUCCAAAUUAGGCUAUUAGUGUUUUGUUUGUUUGUUUGUUUGUUGCAUCUAUAGGGAUCUGGGUGAUGUUGAAACCUAUUACACUGGACUCCCAGAAGGUAGUGCUUUUCCUACGCUCAUAGAGAGGUUGUGUGACAGCAUAACCAACCCUAUUCCUUGACUGGGCCCUUGAGGAACCAAAUGAAGAGCAAGCUCUCUGCUGCCAGGGUUUCCCAAUGCCAGAAUUCCACCAUCACUGCCCUGGUCCCUCCUACCAUCUGGCCCAGUCAUUAAACCUAUGCCUGCCCUUUCCAGGAUAUUUAUUUCCUUUUCUCUUCUCUGCUAGGAGAGCCCCGCAUGUGGGCUGCAGUCUCCCUCGCUGCUUCCUCUUGGAUGGAUUUCAUUUUGCCUGCUUCCCACCUUGACAUUUUGACAAACCAGCAAUGGCCCAGAAUUGUUCCUAUGCUCUUUUCCCUGAGCUCAUGCCCACCCCUGUGAUUGAUAGGACUGGCUUUUAGCUUGGCAAGGUGAUCCUUUUUUAAGGGCAUGUCCAGAGGGAGCACAUAGUGACCUCACUCUGGCCAGGACAUUGCUGGGUACAGAAUAUAACUCCUUGGUGUUUGGCCUCCUGAGUCACUCAUUCAUUACAUAAAGUCUUUAUCUUCGUGCAUAUCCUGGAACAAUACUCUUAAAUAAAUACUCUCGGAGGCAUUUUACUCCAUGGCUAUUUACUUUGCAUUUCCAUGAUCUCAAUGGAACACAGAAAGGGAGGAGGUAGAAGGCUUGGCAAACAAUCAUUUGCCACCAUCUACGCACAAGGGG
Molecule: long non-coding RNA, 1236 nt
Filed under: Homo sapiens (human)
Lineage: Eukaryota; Metazoa; Chordata; Mammalia; Primates; Hominidae
Description: HSALNT0206724
Source: RNAcentral